AUGACGGUGCUGCCCGCACCCCUGCCUCAUUCGAGAGUUUCACUUCAUGUAGCAGCGUGGAUGUCCGGGGAAGUGGUUCCUCGCCGGCUGGAUGGCGUUCAGGCGCAACCCCGGCGCCCACUGAUUACUGGCUCAGCUACAACCUCCCUCGGUGAUCUCCUACUUCCUCCUGCUCCUCAAUUUCUGUUCGGGGAAUUCUUCAAUUGA
RNAcentral lists this ribosomal RNA (207 nucleotides) under Triticum aestivum (bread wheat). RNAcentral describes it as "partial small subunit ribosomal RNA". Lineage: Eukaryota; Viridiplantae; Streptophyta; Magnoliopsida; Poales; Poaceae. The record is from RNAcentral.